Molecule: long non-coding RNA, 36935 nt
Filed under: Fragaria vesca (wild strawberry)
Lineage: Eukaryota; Viridiplantae; Streptophyta; Magnoliopsida; Rosales; Rosaceae
Description: long non-coding RNA (FVES_LNC002444)
Source: RNAcentral
CAUAUAAUAUGAAUGGAGGUGACCGACAUUGCACAGUGUUACACUUUUCGAGAGGUCAAUUUCUAGGGUUUGGAGAUCCCUAAUCUCAGGUCUCCAAGAGAAUGAUUUACAGUUUCCCAGAAUCAAGACUAGUCAAGAAUGGUCUCACUCACAUGUUGAUAAAAUGGCCACCCUUAUCUGUACUGGCAACCAAAUUCGCGAUCGGUGGUUAAAACUAGCUACAAAUUAACUUAGAAGAAAGUCGGAAAGCAUGGAUAUCCAUUUCUACUCUAGCUAGUAGCUACACCUACCGCCAUCUUCGAAAUCAAAUGCUAAAGCUUCUUCGAAUGGACACAUAAUUGUUCAAAGUCCUUAAUCCUAUUAUAAUUGUUCUGAUUCAUGCAUAAUCAUGUAAUGAUAUGAAACAAAGCAUGAAUUUCAUAUUUGAAACACAUAACAUGCAUUUCAUCGUUGUUGUUGUGAAAAUGUGAUAGUAAUUAUGCGUGAUAUAUCUUCUACUAAAAAACGAUAAUGUAUGUUGAUAUGAAGCAAUUUGUGUAUAGAUAUGUUAAAUUUGAUAUCUUUUAAUCUACAUUAGAUAAUAACCACAUACAUAUUCUGUAAUAAUCAUUUAAAUAGUGAAACAAGGUAGAUAUAUGUAAAUACGAUAGUAAAUCAAGAACCGUUAGCGCAUAUUAUAUUUCAUUCUUAUGAACUUAUCGUACCUCUAUUUUCAAACGAAUUAAAGUAAUGUGAUGAAAGUCUAUCUACUCUAGUAUGUUCUAACUAAUACGAGGGGCAUGACUCUUAUAAUAUGUGAAACCCUAGCUUUCAUCAUUAGAUCUCUAACUCUAGGGUUGGGGAGUGGCCACUCAUAAAAAAAACCCCAAGGCCGACGCCUUACUACUUCCGUUUGAUAUUCCUCCAAGGCUCCAACAUUCUCCGUAUCGAUAAAAUCAAACGAGAACGAGCUAGCAAGCAUAAAAGAAUGUUAAAAUUAUUCUCCCCUCGCAAUUAUUCUCUCCACGACACACAUUCCCUUAAACCGCAUUUUAAAGCAAGAAACAAACAAAGGAACAAAUACCCCCCUUAAAUCUCGAGCUCAUUUGCCUUGCCUUAGGAACAUAACCCCUUAUUCUUUAGGGCAUAUUUACCAAAACUAACUCGUAAGUAGCUACGGUGGUGUUGUCUGGUCCGUACUGCCAAAAUCUUUGUCGGAAGCGCCGUGUCUUUUCCAGCACCACCCCACACUUUUCCUCAAUCCUCCCCAUUUUUAUUUGCUUCUUCUUUGGCUCUCUCCCAUGCUCCAACCAUAAAACAAACAAGGAACAACAACACGCCUCCCUUUUGUCCUCACCUUUCCUCUCAUAUAUUCUUCUCUCUCUAACACUAUGCUUUUGGGUUUUCCUAUAUUAGCUAGUUGGAGCUAGUUGGUUUUUUUUUUUUUUUUUUUCUCUGUGCAUAUUAACCAACAAAUUCGAGGUCUUGGCUCGUUGAGGAGUCCUUCUCGAUCGUUUGAAGCCUGAAAUAUUGAAUAUGUGGCUCAAAUGUUUGUUGGUAGAGAUCGAACUUGUGGCACAAAAACAUGCAUUAUGAUAUUAUCUAUAUGAUUGAUGUAUGAACAAAACCACCCAUGAUUACUAAAGGUUAGGUGAACUUGGGCAACAUUCACUUGUAUACCUAAACGCACAUGAAUCAAAAUUCAUUCUGGCUAAUGUAGGCUACUCAUUCUUCCAAAUUGUUCGUUAUUAAUUAAGAUAAAUAAAGAUUCCGAGACUAAUAUUCUCCUAAAAUUUAUGAACUGUAUCUCCAUAACACACAAUUUUUAAGCCAAAAUCACAUGUUCUUAUCUUCUUAACAAAAACUUCUAACUCCAAAAGAAUGAUUUUUAAGCAAUAUAGAACUUAAAAACCUAAUACAUAUCCUAAAAAUUAUGUGAGAUUUUCAAUAAAAAUUAAACUCUAACAAUAUUUGCUAACUCGUUUUCACUUAUUUUGGGUGCCAAACCAUGUCGAGACCACUGAUUAUUAUAAUUAAAAUCCUGAAUCUUGUUGAUAUCGCAUAGCGAGCUUUCAAUUGGAAUGUUUAAAUUGUAAACUACCUGGAAACUUUUUUUCCAGAAACAUGCUAAAUACAAAGUUCCAUGAAACGACUUCGUACAUCGACUUCAAAUUGGCAAAAACAAUCACACAGGACAAUAUUUCUCCAUUACGGCGAACACAUGCUUCUGAAUAUACCCAUCAAUCCAUCAUCAUGACCAUCGUGACCUCCGAGUUCUUUUGUCUUGUAUUUUUGGCAUAUAUACAUGUAGACAACAUGGUGCUAAUAUGCAUGUUUUCCUAUAUCAUUAUCAGGAUUAACUUAAUUUUUAAUUGAAAUUAACAAUAAUUAACAUCGUCGACAUUUUUGAAACUUGGCAUGUCGUGUCCUAGAGCUUCGAAUAUUACCUCAUAAAAGGGUGUGUUCUUUUGUUUCAUCUUGCUCAUGCUUGAUCAUCGGAUUCCUUAUAUCACAUGCUGCUGAACUCCCUUGAAUUCUAUCCAGAAUUCUUGAGAUCCCUAGACAGCUUAAUUAAUCAUCUUAUAUCCAAUAAGCUUUUUGUAGGGUAAGCCAUAACCCAAAUAAUCCCGGUUUAGCCAAAAGGCAUGCUACUAAGUAGGCAAAUCCCCCAUCCAUGACAAAUGAAGACAAGCAAAUAGAAAUUUACUAUACCAUCAACUUGAAAACAUGAACAACCAAUUAUUAAAAAGAAGAACAAGAUGAAUAAUCAACUAAAACGAAAAUUCUUCUACGCACCAAGGUGCAAGUGAACCGAGCAACUAAUAUACAAUAUUUUGAUUCGGUAAUCCACGUCACAUUAUCAUGCAUGUAUUCUAACACCGUUAACACAAUUGAAACCUAAAAAAAUAAUCCUUAGUGCUUCCAACAUAGGAGGUGAUCGAGGACUUGAGGUCAAAUAAGAGGUACACUUAUUAUAGGCGCUUAAUUUGAUCUGAUUAAAAAUGAAAAUAAAAAGAAGGAAUUUAGAGUCUCAGGUUUCAUUGGAUCUUCAUAUAUGACGAUUUGAAGACUUGCAGCUUAAUGGUGCAAAUAUAUUUUGGUGCGUAGAAAAUGCUUGUAUAGAUAAGAACUGAUAUGAUGCAAUGCAACUUAAUUUCUUACUAGAAAACUAAGAACGAAGUGUGUGUGUAUAGAUCGAAGUCGUUUUCGAAAAGAAGUGUAUUAGUAAGUUGCAAUUAAGAAUCAUGUAAUUAAAAUAUUAGUUAUAUUACAAAGGAAUAAUCUUGGCAGACAAGCAAAAAGAUCAUAUCUCAGUAGAUUAUAAACAAAUCUUCAAUCAUUCUCAGUAGGAGAUAAAAUACUCAGAUUUUUCAUCCUGCCCUUGUUAAUAUAGCUAUAGAACUGAUCCCAAUAAUCUUCAUACCCUUCCUUUUGCAAUUCAAUAUCAAAUAUACGUUUGUCUUUUUAUAUAUAUUGAAUAAUACCCGUUCACUUUCUAGGUUUUUUUGCCCCACUCUAAUGCUUGUUUACAUAUGUUUAAUACUUUUCGAUUUGUUAACUGAUUUAGGGCGAAUUAUUUCAAGCAUAGCUUUUUCUAGUUUCUAUGCAUGUGUCAAAGCCAAUGUGCUUGUUGCUUAAAGAGAAUAAAUGUCAAACGAGAGAGGACUAAACAAGGAUUAACUUGCUUUAGUUUGUUAUAAUCAGUCUUUUCUUCGAAGCCACGACAAGGAUGGUAAGGCCAAAGGCUAAUCCCAGCUAUUACAGAUAUGUACGUAGUGUACGUACCAAGUCGAUCGAUCACUGCUGAUGAAAUGACAAUAGUACUCGAUGCAAGAGUAGUGUUCAACUUCAUGAAAUGACAAAAUGAACAAGGCAUUUCUUCUAUUUUCUGCAAACAAAGACUAAGGGACAAGCAGACGAACUUUGCAGGACUUGAUGGCUAUCAAUUUCUAAAUGGUACGUAUACGUAUAGUCUUAUUGUUUAUCUUCAGGUUCGGGGUUUCAGAGUCAUUUCGGGGAAGAAAAAGGAGAGGAAGAUGUGAGCUGAUCGGCUUGAGAAUUGCUUCUAUGAUGAGUUUAGCUGCUCAGGCUUUACAGCCUUGCUAGCUCGUCGACGGUUCGUGAGCCUGACGUCUGCCCUAGAUCAUCAAACAUGCAAACGGAAGCAGCUCACGUGCAUUGCUCACGUGCCAGACUGUGACCAGCCGCGAACGAAAACUAUUGUGCCCAUGAUCGAUCCAGUGAUCCUCGAUGAUCAGCAGAAGGAGACGAACCAGAGCUACAGAACUGAGAUGGAUCAGGUUCAAUUCACAUGGUGCCACACGUGUGAAGGCAGAAGAACCAAAAAGAAAUAUAAGAAAGAUAUAAAACAGUGUCUAAUUAUUCAUAACCCAAUCAGGCAAUCACAUGGCAACUAGGAGUAGUUCAUCAUGAUCGAUCAUCACCACCUUUAUGUUUGGACUGGGAUACAAACCUUUUCAUCUGUAAAAUUAGUUUGUCAUCUGUAAGUGAUGAAGAAGUAAGAAAGAUGCAUUUUCAUGUGAAUUGGUUUUAAUUAUUACAUUUUUUUAUUAUUUUUUUGGUUAUAUGUAGACCCCAAAAGGGCAUGGAAGAACAUAAAUUAGCCACAGAAAACAAAGUUUGGACCAACGAUCAUAGUGUGGCGCCAAACUGUCAAGGUACACUUGUAUGAAGGAGAUCGAGUUAGAAUUGUAUAUAUAUAUGAAUGGGAGGUUAAGGUUGAUAUUAUCUCUAACCAAGAUAUCCGUUAUGAAAUUUCCUUCAUGGUAAGCAUAGACAAGAAUUUUGUAUCAUACCGUUGUAUUAUAAUUAAAAUUGUAAAAUUAAAUUCGGUACAUUUUAAAGGAACAAAGCAAAAUUAUAGUUCAUUUUUUUAAUUUUAUUAUUUAUUAAUAACUUAAAAUUAUUAGUUAAACAUCUUAACCAAUUAAGCCACGAUUCACCGACGUAAAAGUCACGUCUAAAUUAUAGUCUUCCUAACACAAAAGUUCAUAGGAAGAUUAAUGUUAUAGUAAUUGUUUAUAUUUUUUUGCUUUUAUAGUGGGCCCAACAUCCGUAGAAGUUGUAUACAAGCAGCAUUCUUCCUCUUCGGGCCUUUUACCCUUUGACAGCGACUUACAAUUUUGGACCGUAUUGUUGCUAGUGGAGUGGGCCCAACAAAAGGCCCACUACCAGCCCUUUGUCCCCCUUCCCAUAAUGCCAAAACUGUCCCACCUCCCACAACUACUCCCCCUUCCCUUUCCUUCAUUAUUGUCUUUUUCCUUUCUAAAAAAAAAAAAAUAUGUCCUUUUAAUUUGUAACCAACAACAUAAAAAUAAAAUAACAAUGAGGCCCUAGACCUAUAAUGAAAAUUUUCUUUUAGAUUUUGCUAUAUUGGGUUCUGGUUAUGCAAAAUAAAAAAAAUAAAAAAGGGGAGAAUGUGACACCUAUACAUACAUUCUACCAUCUACCCAUUCCUUUAAUAUUUUAUUAUUUUAGAAAAGAAAUUUUAAAUUAGUAUGGGAGCAUUUGAUUAUGACGUCAGCUAUACAUCAACUGUGACGUUUUAUCUGUAGAUGAAAUGGCAUUGUUUGACUCGUGUUGACCCAGUGGGCCAGGAUCCAUGAGGUCUUCUUGCUGUGGGGCAUGAGGUUGGUGGUGGAGUCAAACAUAUAAUUAUGAAUAUUUGGCUAGUAUUAUCUGCACUAAUCAUCAGUGCUUAAAAAGUGGGUUAAGACAAUUUUGUUUUGUUUUGUUUUUGAUGCUAGUGGGUUAAGACUUAAGAGCACUAGGAUAUAGUUGAAAAAAUAUACAAUUUUUUUAUCCAAUGUGUUUUAUUUCUUGCAUUAACAAAGGUCUUCAAUUUAAGAGCAACAUGGUUCUCAUAAAAAACAUGGGUGUCGAUGAUCUUGUUACGAAGAAUGCUUCUCACAUUGAAGAUGUGUAUUUCUCGUUUAUUUUUCGAUUAAGCGCUUUGCUUGAUGACGUUUUUGGUAUAAAAUAAAGAAGUCUAUAAUAGCCAUAAUAUGACUAGAUAGAUUUCGUUGUUCUUGUUUCGCUAGGCAUUUUUCUCUAUCGUUGAAAAGUAAAACACACAUUACACAAAUGUCUUCCUUAUUAUGAUUAGCUAACGAUCCUUACUAUGCGCUCAAUGUCCUGUCCUAAUGGGGCAACAAUAUAUUCGGCAGGCUGGCUCACAUUUGUAUCUACCAUGAAUUCCCCCUUGUUCUUACAGUUGAACAAUUAUGAGACAUCUUACCAAAGAGAAUUUGCGAAGUAAACUCAACUAAUAAACUUGGAUUAGUACGAUACUUCGAUUUGGUCUCAAGUUAAUUUCAUCACCAACCGGAAACUGGGCUUAACAUCAUCAUUCCUUUUUCAAAUGUACCCGACCCGGCCCAAUCCCCACCCUACUUGAGCUGAACAGUAGUGACUAGCUCAACAUAACUGCGUCGAUCAAUUUCUUCUUCGAAAAAACAAUGGCGGUUUUCCAAGCGGUGACGUGGCUCUCCAGAACCUUCUCCACCGCCGCUUCUCACCCUCUCCGAGUCUGCAUCGUCGGAAGCGGACCCGCCGGCUUCUACACGGCGGAGAAGGUAAAGCCUCGUAUCGCUUCUGCAGUGGUUUUUUGGAAUCUGAUGGAUGCAAUUGGUUUGUGAUUUUUGAAUUGAACUGAAUUAGAUGCUGAAGGCGCACCAGGAAGCUCAGGUUGACAUCCUUGACCGGUUGCCCACGCCGUUCGGAUUAGUCCGCUCCGGCGUAGCACCGGACCAUCCUGAAACCAAGGUGAUCAUAUCAUUCCCCCAAUUUCAUUGCUAUUUCGGAAAGUUAAGUUCUAGAGGAUUAAUCGUUCUAGAGUAAGAAUGCUGUGGAAUUUUUUGAAUGCUUGUUUGCGGUGGUGGAGUUUUAGAUUUUUGGGUUGCGAAAAUGAACUUCUUAUAUUUGAGCUUAUUGUGAUCAGAAAACUUGCAACAGAUUGUGGUGAACCAGUUUACGAGAGUCGCGCAACACAAACGCUGCGAGUUCUUUGGGAAUGUCACUCUUGGAUCCUCUGUCACUCUUCCCGAGCUCCGCCUGCUGUAUGAUGUGGUGAGUUUCUAGCUCAAUAGAUGAAAAUGUGAAUUCAUUCUUGUUGUGGUUGUUUGUUUGAACAAGUUAUUUAUGCAAUUGAGCAGGUUGUGCUUGCGUAUGGCGCUGAGAGUGAUAGAGUUCUUGGUAUACCAGGAGAGGUAUGUAUUGCUUGUUUCGAUUUUAUUUUCUGCCGUUCUUCAUUUCAAUAGACUGGAUAGUGUUAAUGCCGAAUGAAUGUGGGGACUAAACUUAGAGGGUGUCAAAUGGUAAUAUCUCUUAUUGGACAUGAGGAUCGAGCCUUCAUUACGGUUUAGGAGGAUUUGGGAUUUUCCUCUUUUAGGGUAGGGUGGGGUUGACAGUACUAAACCACUGUUGGUGGAUAUCCUUUAUAAAUUGACUUAUAUUGUAUUUAUAUCUUAUUGGAUACUUGUUUGUGUUUCUUGCUAGGAUUUGAGUGGCAUAUAUGCAGCUAGAGAAUUUGUGUGGUGGUAUAAUGGGCAUCCGAAUUCCAGAUACCUUAAUCCUGACUUGACGAGUUCGGAUACAGCUCUGAUUCUUGGCCAGGUAUCUUCAUGCUUUAUUUAGGAAACGAGGUCAGAUAUAGGAUCAAUUUUGCAAUUAGUUACUGGCACAAGUAAGGUGGUUACUGCAAACACUUUACCGUUCUUGCUACACCACUUGCAACUAUCUCAAGCUCAGUCUAGACUUGCUACUUCUUUAUAUCACUGGGCAUACUUUCAUUAUUCCAUCUCUAACAUUAUUAAAAAAAUUACACAAAAAUAUAUGUAGACGUUAUGCUAUAUUUUUUUGUUUCUCUUCAAUGGUUAUAAAGUAUCUAAGAAUUCUCUUCUAAAGGCAUCACUUAGUAAAAGAAACAAAAAAACAAAUGAUGUAAGGUAGAAAUUGUAAUUAGAUAGAGCAUGGUGCUGAUUAACUGCAUCAAAGAACAGGGUAAGGGAGCCAAUAAAGGUGUAAACUAGAUCUAGGUUUCAGGACAUGACCCUGUGUUGUUACCAAAAACAAAUGAUUAUCCCUCAAUACAUUGGUUUAUCAUGUAGUGAGAAACAAAAGUGAACUGUAACUUGACGUGGCUUGAGUAUAGUUUAAGUAUUUUGAAGAAAUGUUGUGGCCUUUGGGCACUCAGAAAAUAUGAAAUUUAUUACACUUCAGAGGACAUGUUAAAACAUAAAGCUUUCUACUACAGAGGUGUAUCCCUAUUAAACAGUUGGUUUUGAUUCCAGGGAAAUGUAGCUCUUGAUGUUGCACGCAUUCUUUUACGACCAACAACAGAAUUGGCAAAGACUGAUAUUGCCAGCCAUGCUUUGUCAGCUCUUCAGAAGAGCUCUAUAAGGUUUUCUAUCCCAUACUCAGUUACAUUCACUGGAUACUUUAUUUUAUCUAAGUUUCAUGUUUAAUGAUAUCAAUUUCUCUUCAGGAAAGUAUAUUUGGUUGGGAGGCGAGGUCCAGCACAGGCAGCUUGUACUGCUAAAGAGCUGCGUGAAAUUCUUGGUGAUUGUCAAACUUUUCAUCAUUUUAAUGCUCAGUGCAGUACAUUAUUUGUAUUUUUGUGCUAGACUGUUCUCUUUUGGAUUUAUCUACAUUUGAGUAAUUUUGAAAAAGUGUUGCUUUUGCUUUUCAGGUAUAAAAGAUCUGCAUGUUCACAUAAAGGAAAGUGAUCUACUGAAAACCCCAGCAGAUGAAGUAAUCUUUUUCUCCUCUUCUCUCUGUCACUGUUGGUGAUACAUUAAUUCCUUUUUAUCUUUAGUAAUAUUCCCUUCCGCUGGUGUUUUGUGCCUUGUUGCUGUCAUUUGGUAAGGAAGAGAUGAAGAAUUAUCGAAUUCGAAAAAGGGUUUAUGAGUUGCUGUCUAAGGCUUCUACAUCUAGACCUUCCCACCCCAGUUCAGAUCCACGUGAACUCCACUUUAUUUUCUUUCGGAAGCCAGAUAAGUUUCUAGAAUCUGAUGAGAGAACUGGCCAUGUUUCUGGUGUGAGACUUGAGAAGACAAAGCUCAUAGGUAAAUUUAUCCUUCAUAAAUGUGUGAUGUAAAAUUGGUCGUGUAUUUUCCAAUGCAGUGAACACAGCACUUAGUCACUGGACCAUUGAUUCGUUUUGUACCUUAGUAAAACAGGAGGUCACAAUCGAGUUAAUGUGAAAGCUGUUAAUAGCACGAGUAAAUUAGCUAUAUGAUUGGCUGUCCAAGUGAUAAUGAUAUCUGCUUCCUUGAAUUUAAAAUUGUAGGUGUCAACCCUGGAGAACAAAAGGCUGUAGGUACGGGACAGUUUGAAGAUCUUGGAUGCGGGUAUACUCUCUAAAAUUCAAGCUUUUUCUAUUUCCUACCAGUCACUUAUAUGUCUAAUGUGUGUUGAUAGUAUAUGUCGAAGCUGUAAAGUGAGAUGUUUGUGUGUGUGUGUGUGAUGAGUUGUGCUGAGGUACUGACAACUUUGUGUUUCUUCUCUCUGUAGAAUUGUUCUAAAGAGCAUUGGUUACAAAUCAGUACCAGUUAAUGGCUUACCAUUUGAUAAUCAGAAAGGUAACCAUUGGUUAUAUCCUAUCUGGAUCUCAGGUGUCCUUACAGAUACACUAUAAACAUUCAGAUUGACGGCAUCUUCAAGCAUUAAGUUCAUGACAUACAAUAUUUGAGGAAGAUUAUUCCACUAACAUGUUAUGGCAUACACAUAUUGUGGGUAGUUCAGUUCAUUUGAAAGUUUGGAGGCCUGAUAGAUCAUUUCCUUAAAAGUUUGAAUGUCAAAAGAACUAUAUUCCUAUGCUCUUAGAUAUUUUACCCAAUUAAACUUUACAUGAAAUGAGAUGACAUGAAAAUUUAUAUGGCUGGUCCCGUAUUCAUGCAUAUGAGAAAGAAAAAUCUGAUCUGAUGGCCCUUUCUCGCAGGUGUGGUUCCAAAUGUUAGAGGGCGAGUUUUAAGUGAUGCAUCUGGCGAUCAUACACGGCUAGAGAAGGGUUUGUAUGUAUGUGGAUGGUUGAAGAGAGGACCAACUGGGAUUAUUGCUACAAACCUCUAUUGUGCUGAAGAAACUGUAAGUGGUAUUUUAUACUUGAAUGGAAAGAUAGCUUGUUAGGAUUUGAUUUCAUUAGGGUGAUUACAGCGCAGCUUUGCUCACUUGAGUUUUGACCAACAUGGUAGGUUACAAGUAUAUCUGAAGACCUUAAGCAAGGCAUAGUGACAUCCUCAUCAUCUAGCUCAGGCAGGGAGGGUCUCCUCCAAUUGCUGGACAACCGAAAUGUAAGAGUUGUACCAUUUAAUAGAUGGGAAAAUAUUGACUCACGUGAAAGAGAGCUUGGGAAUUUAAAAGACAAGCCUCGGGAAAAAUUAGCCACAUUGGAGGAGCUUGAGAAAGCAUCAGAGUAAUUGAAUACAAAAGGAUUAAAGGUCGUCUUUAUUUAGAGCUUCAGUAGAACAUUGUUUGUUUACAUAGUGAAAAUAACAAUUCUUUCUUUAACAAUGAUAGAGCUUUGAUUUGUCAUUGUUAAUAUUUGAAUUUCAGGCUUAACGUUGUUCCUUUUGAAGAAAAGAAAAUAACCAGUUAUGUAUUUGGUCUUUUCAAUUAGCUACUUGGUCUAUUGUGGCCCGUACUUCAAUACUUACAAGGAUGACGUGCUAUGAACUACGACCCAAUGAUGGCAGGACCCAAAACGGCAUCUUCAUCUCGUUCCAAUUCCACUUACAUAUAGAAUCAGAGUCGAUUAGUGUUGUCCUGGUUCUGUCCCCUAAAUUGAAAAUACCCAUCUCGCUUUUCAAGUAAUCACACUCACUAGGAUACUCGUCCCGUUUAACACUUUCUGUGGCAUAGUAUAUGCAAUUCGGCUUGCAGCCAGGAACACUUGAAGCUAAAACAGACUGGGAUUGACUUUGGCCUAAGAAUAUCGCAUCAUCUCCAAUGCAUUUUACCUCAACCAGCUGAACGCGGGACUUGUCUUCCUCGUUGAACACGAUCUUGCAAACGCCGAAGGAGGUUUCUUUAAACGCAUAAAAUCUUAGAACGAGCAACAGGUCUCCAUUUGUUGACUCCACAAGAUAUUGCUGCCUACAAUGUGCACGGAAAUAUCCUUAGGGUCAGGGUUAAAACGCAAUAUACUGUAUUUCGGAUAUGGAAGGUUGAAAUGCUAUUAACAUCCAAGGUUACUAUCCUACUGUCCCCAAUUGAAGAAGCAAGCCAGAAUUGUUUUUAUGAAAUAUAGCAUCAUCGAACUUAGGAAGAUCUGGAGGCAGUCGUUUGAUCGUGAUCCAAGAUUCUUGUCCUCCUUUAAUAAGCGCUAACGGCGGAGAAUAACCAUUCGUAUAUCCUAUGCGGGUCGCCAAUGGUCUAAAUAAUGCAAAGAGCACAUAAUAGUUUUCCGGAUGCAAAGCGGGGUUAGCAGACAAGAUAACUCUCGGGAUCCAGUCUUUAACAUGCUCGAACAAUUUUUGGAUGCAAUGCAUAUAGGGGGGAAGAUGAAUCACCUCUGAUGCUUUUCCGAAAGGGUUUCGCAGAGUAAUUUCAUGAACGAGCUUGAAUCUUCUAUUUUCUUGCCAUUCCCCGGUUGAUUGGAGUGCCGACUGCCGAGGCCAACCAACCUUGGCUAGAGCCACAAAGGUUCUCAUUGUAAGGCAUCAAUAAACGAAUGUUGACGUUGUUGUAGAUUUUUCUUUCUGAAACGCUAUACAGUAGUCUUUGCUUUGUAUCAUUAUCGGAUUCAUUAGGGGGAAGCAUGAGCAUCGGAAGUAGCUUAGGCUUACUCACCCAACGUUGCUUGGUGCAAUUGUAGAGUUUUGCAACUUGCUGCAGUUCCUUACAAACAGCGGCGAAACGAACAUAGUCGACGAGCUCCAACAACUUAUCAAGAACACAAUACAAAACAUCAUUUGGAAGACAUGAAAUAUGAAGUUUCAUCUCUCUUUGUUCGUGGCAAGUUAUUCCUCGUCUUUUAACAUGUGCUGCUGCUUCGUCUUCUAGACUCAUUGACACCUCAUUAGCACUAGAAACGCCAAUAUCAUCAUCAUGCUCUACCAUCCCUUGUUUAUAUCUCUGUUUUUUCUUUCUUUUCUUCCUUUUGGUAUAUCAUCACCGAUGUUAUAUAGGCACCUAAAGAAGUCCAAGACAUAGUAGGAUUAGGAAACCGUAGCCCUCAAGAAAAGAGUUCAAGUCCUAGUCAGGUUAUGAUUAGCAAGUCGUUUGAAAUCUUCUAAUACAACGUGCGUGGUAGCGUUACAACCUUGUACGCUAGCUAGGUGGCUUCGUGGCAUACUUGCAUUAUCUUCACAUCAUCGGUGUUCUACGUACUAAACCAACCAAAUAAAUGAUUAUAUAUAAUUCCCUUUUCUUAACAUAUAAACAAAUGCCGCAAUCCAUAAUCCAAUAAUUCAUAAGGAAAACCAAAGCCUUACUUAAGCAGAUCUGCACCCAUAUGGAGAAAUUAACCCAUAAGUAGAUCCUAGCUAGCAAGAGCUUAGCUUCUCAAACCCUCGACAAGACUCGUCACAUUUGUUCUGCAGGAAGACUUGUUCGUCAAGAAAGAGAAUCAAGAAGAGGAUGAGAUCAACGGAGGAUGUAAUAUUUGGUUAUAAUAGAGGUUUUGUAAUCUGCAGUGAGGUUGUGUUUAUUUUUAUAUAUCGUGGAAAAAGUGGAGGAUGUAAUGAGGCGACGAAAGAUCGUUGGUUCAAAGCAUCUGCCGGGUUUUGGGAAGGCAAAGGAACUUAGUUCAAUACCUAUUGGGUUUUAAAACAGACUGGGCUUAUCAUCUCUAUUCCUUUUUUCAGAUUAGCCCGACCCAGCCCAAAUAACAGCCAUAUUUUCAGCAAGCUACGCUGAACAGUGUGACUAGCUUAAUAGUUUACACAGUUCACAGUUGCAUCUUUCAAUUUCAUAAAAAAAUGGCGAGGACAUGGUUUUCCAGAACCUUCUCCCCCGGCCCACCGCUUCUCACUCUCCGCGUUUGCAUCGUUGGAAGUGGACCCGCCGGCUUCUACACGGCCGAGAAGGUAAAGCCUUGGAUUCUAGAGGUUUUGUAGAGUUAAGUGAGAGGAACUUGAAGUUUGUGAGUUCAUACAUAAUGUAAUUGAGCAGUAUGAAAUUUUUGAAUGCUUGUUUGUUGAGUGUUUAGCGUCAUUUUGUGCUUCCCACGAUUCGUUCGUUUAGUACCUCUUAUGUUUGAGCUUAUUGUGAUCAGAAAACUUGCAACUGAUUGAAUGCUCAUUCUUUGGAAAUGUCACUCUUGGAUCCUCUGUCACUCUUCCCGAGCUCCGCCAGCUGUAUGAUGUGGUGAGUUUCUAGCUCAAUAAUGCGAAUUCGUUCUUGUUGUGGUUGUUUGUUUGAACAAGUUAUUUAUGCAAUUGAGCAGGUUGUGCUUGCCGUAUGGCGCUGAGAGUGAUAGAGUUCUUGGUAUACCAGGAGAGGUAUGUAUUGCUUGUUUCGAUUUUUUUUUCUGCCGUUCUUUGUACAAUAUACUGGAUAGUGUUAAUUCAAAAUGAAUGUGGGGAUCAAACUUAGAGGGUGUGAAAUGGUAAUAUAUCUUAUUGUAUAGGAGGGCCUAAAUAAGAUCAAGCCUUCAUUAGGGUGAUUACAGCGCAGCUUUCCUUGCUUGAGUUUUGACCGACAUGGCAGGUUGCAAGCAUAUCUGAAGACCUUAAGCAAGGCAUAGUAUCCUCAUCAUCUAACUCAGGCAAGGAAGGUCUCCUCCAAUUGCUGGGCAACCGAAAUGUAAGAGUUGUACCAUUUAAUAGAUGGGAAAAGAUAGACUCACGAGAAAGAGAGCUUGGAUUUUUGAGAGACAAGCCUCGGGAAAAAUUAGCCACAUUGCAGGAGCUUGAGGAAGCAUCAGAGUAAUUGAAUAUAAAGGAUUAAGGUCGUCUUUAUUAGAGCUUCAGUAGUACAUUGUUUGUAAACUUAGUGAAGAUAACUAUUCGUUAAGAAUGAGCUUUCAUUUGUCAUUGCUAAUAUUUGAACUUCAGGUUUAAUGGUGUUCCUUUUGAAGAAUAUGAUCACGUAUGUAUUUGUAUCCGGUAAAACUUAAUAAAUCGUGAAUCCUGCAUUAACCCUUUGAAGGAUAAAGACAAUGAUACCCAUGUCUUGAAGAAUUGCUAUCAGACAUCUCCUAUAAACAUAUAUUAAGGAUAAUACUAAGAUCAUGCAUGAUUGCUGCAUAAAUAUUCUUUAUAAGAAGAUGAAUUAGAAAUAGAAUCAGGAGAUACUUUAUUCAUAUGGACCGACUACUGCUAUAGAUAUACGCAUGCAUGAUACAGAUCGAUCAAUAACCAAACCAAAAUAGGAAGCUAGCCAACAACAACAACAGCACGUAUGUCUGUAUGUGGCCAUACUUCAAGACUUACAAGGAUGACAUGCAUGCUAUGAACUACGACCCAAUGAUGGCAGGACCCAAAACGGCAUAUUCAUCUCGUUCCAAUUCCAGUUACUUAUAGAAUCAGAGGCGAUUAGUGUAGUUCUGGACUUGUCCCCUAAAUUGAAAAUACCCAUCUCGCUUUUUAAGAUAUCACUAUAAUCUUUCGGAUACUCAUCCCGUCUAACACUUUCUGUAGCAUAGUAUAUGCAGUUCGGCUUGCAGCCAGGAAUACUUAAAGCUAAAACAGACUGGGAUUGGCUCUGACCUAAGAAUAUUGCAUCAUCCCCAAUGCAUUUUACCUCAACCAGCUGAAAGGGGGAUUUGUCUUCCUCGUUGAACACGAUCUUGCAAACGCCAAAGGAGGUUUCUUCAAACUCAUAAAAUCUUUGAACGAGCAAUAGGUCUCCGUUUGUUGACUCCACGAGAUAUUGCUCCCAACAACGUGCAUGGAAAAUAUUCCAAGCAGGUUCUGGUUUAAAACCACUAUACUGUAUCUUCGGCUGUGUAAGGUUAAUGCUAUCAACAUCCAAGGUUAGCAUCCCGGAGCCUACCAACUUAUUUCUGCUUUCAAGAAGCAAGCAGAUUUUGUUUCUAUAAAAUAUAGCAUCAUCAAACUUAAGGAAAUGUUGAUCUAGUCGGUCGAUCGUGAUCCAAGAUUCUUGUCCUCCUUUAAAUAGCGCUAACGUUGGAUUAUAAACAUUUAUAAUUCGUCGUACUACGCCGUUUGGUAUGCGGUGCGUCAAUAGCGCUAACGUUGGAUCAUGAACAUUCAUAUGUCGUCGUACUACGCCGUUUGGCAAUGGUAUGCGGUGCGGCAAUGGUCUAUAUAAUGCAAAUAGCACGUAAUAGUUUUCCGGAUGCAAAGCUGGGUUAGCAGACAAGAUAACUCUGGGGAUCCAUUCUUUAACAUGCUCGAACAUUUCUGGGAUGCAAUGCAUAUAGGGAGGAAGAUGAAUCACCUCUGAUGCUUUUCCGAAAGGGUUUCGCAGAGUUAUUUCAUGAACGAGCUUGAAUCUUCUAUUUUCAGGCCAUUCCCCGGUUGAUUGGAGUGCCGAGGCCAACCAACCUUGGCUAGAGCCACAAAGGUUCUCAUUGUAAGGCAUCGAUAAACGAAUGUUGAUGUUGUUGUAGAUUUUUCUUUCUGAAACGCUAUACAGUAGUCUUUGCUUUGUAUCAUUAUCGGAUUCAUUAGGGGCAAGCAUGAGCAUGGGAAGUAGCUUAGGCUUACUCACCCAACGUUGCUUAGUGCAAUUGUAGAGUUUUGCAACUUGCUGCAGUUCCUUACAAACAGCCGCGAAACGAACAUAAUCGACGAGCUCCAACAACUUAUCAAGAACACAAUACAGAACAUCAGUUGGAAGACAUGAAAUCUGAAGCUUCAUCUCUCUUUGUUCGCAUCCUAAUUGGCCAGUUAUUCGUCGUCUUUUAACAUGUCUCUCUUGAUCUUCUGCUCCUGCUUCUUCGUCUUCUAGACUCAUUGACACCUCAUUCGACCUAGAAAAACCAAUAUCAUCAUCAUGCUCCACCAUCCCUUAUAUCUCUAUGUUUUUCCUCUCUUGAUUUCUUUCUUUUUAUGUUCACACAGAUCAUACCGUUAUAUAGGCAAAUAAAGAAGUCAGAGACACAUUAGGAUUAGGAAACCCUAGCCCUCGGGAAAAGAGUCCAAGUCAGGUUAUGAUUAGGAAGCGUUGGAAAUCUUACAACCGUAUCCGGAGACCGUUAUACAAUGUUAAUUAAGUCAGGAGUUACACGCUAGGUGGCUUCGAUGCAUUAUCUGCACAUUAUUAGAGAUAAGAAUACCAAACCAUAAGGACAACCAAAACCUGAAACGUCUCCCUACUCACUUCGUACAACCUGCAAGAGCUUAAUUAGCUUCUCAAACCCUAAAUGCGGACUACCAAACGACGACGUCACCUUGUUCUGCAGGAAGACUUGUUCGUCAAGAAAGAGAAUCAAGCUAGUAGAGGAUGAGAUGAAUGUGAUGAUAGAUCAUUGGUUCAAAGCAUCAGCCGGGUUUUGCAAAGGCAAAAACUAGACUUUAUACCUGCGAUACUCGCGUGUGAAGGUAACUGUCUUACUUCUUAUAUUCGCUUUUCAUAAUUAUUUACACUUUUUUUUUAAUUUCUUUUUGCUUUUAACUAUAAUAACUUUUUAAGUUAGUUGUUUCAAUCAACUCAUUAAUGAUAGUUUAGGCAAAACAUAAUUUGGUAAAUUUCUUGAACCCCUCGCUUUAUUGUAGUAAAGAUAAAGAUAACAUAAUUUUGAGUCUAAGUUCAACACAAAUUAGGAUUAGUGUCAUUGGACUCGAGUCUAUUCAACACCUAUUGGGUUUUAAAACAUUGGGCUUACCAUCUCUAUUCUUUUUCAAAUUUUGCCCGACCCGACCCAAAUCACAGCCAUAUAUUCAGCAAGCAGAGCUGAACAGAAGGUAAAGCCUUGGAUAUUCGUUUUAGCAAUUGAAGUGUUUUUGGUCUCUGUAAAUUGAAUGACGAUUUCGAAUUUGAUGGAUACAAUUGGUUUCUGAUUUGAAUUAAACUGAAUUAGACGCUGAAGGUGCACUAGGAAACUCAGGUUGAUAUCAUUGACCGGUUGCAUGCCCACGCCUUUCGGGUUGUCCGCUCCCAGGUGAUCAUAUGAUUCCCGAAUUUCAUUGCUAUUUCGGAACUUCUAGAGGUUUUGUAGAGUUAAGUAAGAGGAACUUGAAAUUUGUGAGUUCAUACAUAAUGUUAUUGAGCAAGGAUGAAAUUUUUGAAUGCUUUCGGUGUGCCAAAAUGUACCUCUUAUGUUUGAGCUUAUUGUGAUCAGAAAACUUGCAACUGAGAGUUGCUAUUGGUUUUAAAUAACAUCCUUCCGCUCUCUCUCACAGUCUAGGUAAUAUAAUAAUUCUCUUUUAUCUUUAGUAAUAUUCCCUUCCAUUGGUGUUUUGUGGCUUGUUGCUGUCAUUUGGUAAGGAAGAGAUGAAAAAUAAUUGAAUUUGAAAAAUGGGUUUAUGAGUUGCUGUCUGAGGCUGCUACAUCAAGACCUUCGCAUCCGAGUUCAGAUCCAGUGAACUCCACUUUGUUUUCUUUCGGAAGCCAGAUAAGUUUCUGAAAUCUGAUGAGAGAAGUGGCCAUAUUUCUGGUGUCAGACUUGAGAAGACAAAGCUCAUAGGUAAUUUAUCCUUCAUAAAUGUGUGAUGUUAAAUUUUUUAUGUAUUUUCAGUGCAAUGAACGCAGCAGUUGAUCACUGGAUGUCUGGACUAUAGAUUCGUAUUGUACCGUAGUAUAACAGAAGAGGUCAAUCAAGUUAACGUGAAAGCUGUUAAUAACAUUAGUAAAUGAUCUAUAUGAUUAGCUGUCCAAAACUCCAAAUUAUAGUGAUAAAUCUGCUUCCUUCACUUUAAACUGUAGUGUGAACCCUGGAGAACUAAUGCCUGCGCGUACUGGACAGUUUGAAGAUCUUGGAUGCGGGUAUACUCUCUAAAUUUCAAGCUUUGUCUAUCUCCUACCAGUCACAGAUACGUGUAAUGUGUGUUAGUUGCAUAUGUUGGACCCCCUAAAGGUAGGUAGGUGUGUGUGUGUGUGAUGAAUCAUGAUGUGGUACUCACAACUGUGUAUUUCUUCUCUCUGUAGAAUCGUUCUAAAGAGCAUUGGUUACAAAUCAAAACCAGUUAAUGGCUUACCCUUUGAUAAUCAGAGAAGUAAGCAUUGGUUAUAGCUGAUCUGGAUCUCAGGUGUCCUUUAGAGAUACACUUUAAACAUUCUGAUUGACGGCAUCUUCAAGCAUUAAGUUCAUGCUAAUAUACAAAAUUUCAGGAAUAUUAUUCCACUAACAUGUAUUAUGACAUGCACAUAUUUGUGGGUAGUUCAGUUCAUUUGAAAGUUUGGAGGCAUGAAAGAUCUGUUCCUUAGAAGUUUGGAUCUCAAAAGAACUAUGUUCCUAUGCUCUUCGAUAUUGCCCAAUUAAACUUUAUAUGAAAUGAGAUGACAUGAAAAUUUAUAUGGCUGACAUGCAUAAGAGAAAGAAAUCUGAUCUGACGGCCCUUUCUCGCAGGUGUGGUUCCAAAUGUUAGAGGGCGACUUAUAAGUGAAGCAUCUGGAGAUCAUACACGGCUAGAGAAGGGUUUUUAUGUAUGUGGAUGGUGGAAGAGAGGACCAACUGGGAUCAUUGCUACAAACCUCUAUUGUGCAGAAGAAACUUUAAGUGGUAUUGUACACUACUUGAAAGUAACAAAGAUCAGAUGUAUAUUUGUACAACUUUUCACAAUAGCUUCAAUACAAAACAACAGAAGGUUGAUGUAUUCCCAAAGUUCUUCACAGAGCAUUAUGAACUUUCUCUACUGAUUCCAACGUAUCACAACUCUACUAUUGAAUUAAGCUAACUGAAGCUAGCUACAAGCUAGCAACAACAAAUGUGUCUGAGUUUGACACAUUUGUUGUGGCUAGCUAAAGCUAGCACAUCACAUCUCACUCUGAAAAAUUUUCAAUACAAAAAAAGAAAAUAAAUUGUAGCUCACAGAAAAGAUAGCAACAAGCUAGCACAUCUCAUCAGUGUGAUCCCCCCUCUUCCUUUUGGUUCCGGAAGUUUCACCAGUUUCCCUCUUCCUUUUGGUUCCGGUAGUUUCACCAGUUUUCAUAGUUAAAACUUCUCCUUUGGAAGGCAGUGAGGUAUGGUAGAAGGCUGCAGCAUAAGUUUUAGGGAACAUCUCAUCUUCUUGACGGUAGAUUUCAAUCUUGGAAUUCUCACGCACACUGUAUACCACAAUAACAGCCAUAUUUUCAGCAAGCUACGCUGAACAGUGUGACUAGCUUAAUAGUUUACACAGUUCACAGUUGCAUCUUUCAAUUUCAUAAAAAAAAUGGCGAGGACAUGGUUUUCCAGAACCUUCUCCCCCGGCCCACCGCUUCUCACUCUCCGCGUUUGCAUCGUUGGAAGUGGACCCGCCGGCUUCUACACGGCCGAGAAGGUAAAGCCUUGGAUUCUAGAGGUUUUGUAGAGUUAAGUGAGAGGAACUUGAAGUUUGUGAGUUCAUACAUAAUGUAAUUGAGCAGUAUGAAAUUUUUGAAUGCUUGUUUGUUGAGUGUUUAGCGUCAUUUUGUGCUUCCCACGAUUCGUUCGUUUAGUACCUCUUAUGUUUGAGCUUAUUGUGAUCAGAAAACUUGCAACUGAUUGAAUGCUCAUUCUUUGGAAAUGUCACUCUUGGAUCCUCUGUCACUCUUCCCGAGCUCCGCCAGCUGUAUGAUGUGGUGAGUUUCUAGCUCAAUAAUGCGAAUUCGUUCUUGUUGUGGUUGUUUGUUUGAACAAGUUAUUUAUGCAAUUGAGCAGGUUGUGCUUGCCGUAUGGCGCUGAGAGGAUAGAGUUCUUGGUAUACCAGGAGAGGUAUGUAUUGCUUGUUUCGAUUUUUUUUUCUGCCGUUCUUUGUACAAUAUACUGGAUAGUGUUAAUUCAAAAUGAAUGUGGGGAUCAAACUUAGAGGGUGUGAAAUGGUAAUAUAUCUUAUUGUAUAGGAGGGCCUAAAUAAGAUCAAGCCUUCAUUAUGGUUCAGGAAGAUUUGGGAUUUUCCUCUUUUAGGGUAGGUUGGGGUUGAUAGUAACUAAACUGCUGUUGGUGGAUAUCCUUUAUAAAUUGACUUAUAUUGUAUUUUUAUUUUAUUGGAUACUUUGUUUGUGUUUCUUGCUAGGAUUUGAGUGGCAAAUAUGCAGCUAGAGAGUUUGUGUGGUGGUAUAAUGGGCAUCCGGAUUCUAGAUACCUUAAUCCUGACUUGACGAGUUCGGAUACAGCUCUGAUUCUUGGCCAGGUAUCUUCAUGCUUUAUUUAGGAAAUGAGGUCAGAUAUAGGAUCAAUUUUGCAAUUAGUUACUGGCACAAGUAAGGUGGUUACUGCAAACACUUUACCGUUCUUGCUACACCACUUUCAACUAUCUCAAGCUCAGUCUAGACUUGCUACUUCUUCAUAUCACUGGGCAUACUUUUAUUAUUCCAUCUCUAACAUUAUUAAAAAAAUUACACAAAAAUAUAUGUAGAUGUUAUGCUCUAGUUUUUGUUUCUCUUCAAUGGUUAUAAAGUAUCUAAGAAUUUUCUUCUAAAGGCAUCACUUAGUAAAAAAACAAAAACAAAAAACAAAAACAAAAAACAAAUGAUGUAAGGUAGAAAUUGUGAUUAGAUAGAGCAUGGCGCUGAUUAACUGCAUCAAAGAACAGGGGAAGGGAGCCAAUAAAGGUGUAAACUGGAUCUAGGUUUCAAGACUGAUAUUGCCUGCCAUGCUUUGUCAGCUCUUGAGAAGAGCUCUAUAAGGUUUUCUAUCCCAUACUCAGUUACAUUCACUGGAUACUUUAUUCUAUCUAAGUUUCAUGUUUAAUGAUAUCAAUUUCUCGUCGGGAAAGUAUAUUUAGUUGGAAGGCGAGGUCCAGCACAGGCAGCUUGUACUGCUAAAGAGCUGCGUGAAAUUCUUGGUGAUUGUCAAACUUUUCAUCAUUUUAAUGCUAAGUGUAGUACAUUAUUUGUAUUUUUGUGCUAGACUGUUCUCUUUUGAAUUUAUCUACAUUUGAGUAAUUUUGAAAAAGUGUUGCUUUUGCUUGUCAGGUAUAAAAGAUCUGCACGUUCACAUAAAGGAAAGUGAUCUACUGAAAACCCCGGCAGAUGAAGUAAUCUUUUUCUCCUCUUUCUCUCUGUCACUGUUGGUGAUACAUUAAUUCCGAUUUAUCUUUAGUAAUAUUCCCUUCCGUUGGUGUUUUGUGCCUUGUUGCUGUCAUUUGGUAAGGAAGAGAUGAAGAAUAAUCGAAUUCAAAAAAGGGUUUAUGAGUUACUGUCUAAGGCUGCUACAUCUAGACCUUCCCACCCCAGUUCAGAUCCACGUGAACUCCACUUUAUUUUCUUUCGGAAACCAGAUAAGUUUCUAGAAUCUGAUGAGAGAACUGGCCAUGUUUCUGGUGUGAGACUUGAGAAGACAAAGCUCAUAGGUAAAUUUAUCCUUCAUAAAUGUGUGAUGUAAAAUUGGUCGUGUAUUUUCCAAUGCAGUGAACACAGCACUUAGUCACUGAACCAUUGAUUCGUUUUGUACCGUAGUAAAACAGAAGAGGUCACAAUCGAGUUAAUGUGAAAGCUGUUAAUAGCAUGAGUAAAUUAACUAUAUGAUUGGCUGUCCAAGUGAUAAUGAUAUCUGCUUCCUUCAAUUUAAAAUUGUAGGUGCCAACCCUGGAGAACAAAAGGCUGCAGGUACCGGACAGUUUGAAGAUCUUGGAUGCGGGUAUACUCUCUAAAAUUCAAGCUUUCUCUACUUCCUACCUGUCACUUAUAUGUCUAAUGUGUGUUAAUAGUAUAUGUCGAAGCUGUAAAGUGAGAUGUUUGUGUGUGUGUGUGAUGAGUUGUGCUGAGGUACUGACAAUUUUGUGUUUCUUCUCUCCGUAGAAUCGUUCUAAAGAGUAUUGGUUACAAAUCAGUACCAGUUAAUGGCUUACCAUUUGAUAAUCAGAAAGGUAACCAUUGGUUAUAUCCUAUCUGGAUCUCAGGUGUCCUUUACAGAUACACUAUAAACAUUCAGAUUAACUGCAUCUUCAAGCAUUAAGUUCAUGAUAACAUACAAUAUUUGAGGAAGAUUAUUCCACUAACAUGUUAUGGCAUACACAAAUUGUGGGUAGUUCAGUUCAUUUGAAAGUUUGGAGGCCUGAUAGAUCAUUUCCUUAAAAGUUUGAAUGUCAAAAGAACUAUAUUCCUAUGCUCUUGGAUAUUACCAAUUAAACUUUACAUGAAAUGAGAUGACAUGAAAAUUUAUAUGGCUGAUCCCGUAUUCAUGCAUAAGAGAUAGAAAAAUCUGAUCUGAUGGCCCUUUCUCGCAGGUGUGGUUCCAAAUGUUAGAGGGCGAGUUUUAAGUGAUGCAUCUGGCGAUCAUACACGGCUAGAGAAGGGUUUGUAUGUAUGUGGAUGGUUGAAGAGAGGACCAACUGGGAUUAUUGCUACAAACCUCUAUUGUGCAGAAGAAACUGUAAGUGUGUUUUAUACUUGAAUGGAAAGAUAGCUUGUUAGGAUUUGAAUUCAUUAGGGUGAUUACAGCGCAGCUUUCCUUGCUUGAGUUUUGACCGACAUGGCAGGUUGCAAGUAUAUCUGAAGACCUUAAGCAAGGCAUAGUGACAUCCUCAUCAUCUAACUCAGGCAAGGAGGGUCUCCUCCAAUUGCUGGGCAACCGAAAUGUAAGAGUUGUACCGUUUAAUAGAUGGGAAAAGAUAGACUCGCGAGAAAGAGAGCUUGGAUUUUUGAGAGACAAGCCUCGGGAAAUAUUAGCCACAUUGCAGGAGCUUGAGGAAGCAUCAGAGUAAUUGAAUAUAAAGGAUUAAAGGUCGUCUUUAUUAGAGCUUCAGUAGUACAUUGUUUGUAAACUUAGUGAAGAUAACUAGCUUUCAUUUGUCAUUGCUAAUAUUUGAACUUCAGGUUUAAUGUUGUUCCUUUUUCUUAUAUGAUCACGUAUGUAUUUGUAUCCGGUUGUUUAGUAUUUGCCUCCUGGCACUAGUUGCUGCGGUUCAAACAUACACACGCACGACCCAAAACAAAAAUAACCAAUGAAACUAAACUAUCUCUGUAAUGAACACAAUCAUCAACCAAACAACAAAGUUCAACAGCAAAACAACAAAUUUCAACUUGUCAGUAGCACUAUUAACUUUUUCUUCACAGAUUGAUUAACAAAUGUAAAAUUCCAUCUUCACAAAUCAUUUAUCCGGCUAUGAAUCAUCAACAAAUUCUCCUUAACAAAAGUACAAAACAACAUCAGCUACAAACUAGCACAGGAAUAUUCUUAUUGAAUCAAGCUAUCAGAAGCUAGCUACAAGCUAGCAACAACAAAUGUGUCUGAGUUGGACACAUUUGUUGUGGCUAGCUAAAGCUAGCACAUAGCACAUCUUGCUUUACUCAGUGUGAUCUCCCCUCUUUCUUUUACCACCAGCCUGGAUUGUUACAACUCUAUCUUUGAGAGCAGCAGACACUGAGGUAGUGCACAAUCCAACAGCAGAUAUCCCACCAUAUUCUCCUUCCUGAGUUCCAUCAUUGUAUAUCUCUGAUUUAGAUUAUUGAACCAUGUUAUAUACCUGAAUAACUCUUCUAUCUUCCAGAAGCAGAAUUCUAUUAGGAUCACCACUCAAAUAAGAGAGUGACCGCAAUACUCUCAGAUCAUCCCACACAGCAAGAUUUUCAAAUAAAUCCACACUGUUUUUCUUCUUAAGCCUCCACAGACUUGAGGUACCAUCCCCUGGAUUACGGCAGCAGAUAAGCAGCAAUUCUAUCGCUUCCACAAGUCCAAGCCUCUCCCUCGCAACUCCAAAUGUAAGAACUUGUCCUUCCAAUUCCGGUGGCAGAGGAAUCAGCUUGAUAUCCUCCAUGCUCAAGUCGAAUGUUACCAGAUUUUCACACAAGAAAUCACAGAAAUACAACCUUUCUCCAUAACUGCCCACAUAUUGUGACAGACCAAGCUUGAAAUUCCUGAGUCUCUUCCUUCUCCAUGUCUCUCUUUGGAGAGAGAAAAUGAAAGCACAAGUAUGCUGUUCAAAUUCAUCAUCAGCUACCUGUUGAACCACUUUCACAAUAAGGUAAUCACCCUCUACUUUGUUAUAUCCAAAGCCAUACAGCUGUCCAGAGGCCUGUGGACACUCAUCUGCAAUCCUCCUGCAGGUUUGAUUGAUUGGAUUGAGCAUGUAAAGGUAGUCCUGGUUCUUUCCCUCACUACAAAUCAGCACAAUGUCAAGGACAGAACCUAUGAUGCGAGGAGAAUCCACCGACAGCAGAGGAGCAACAUAUGUCUCGGUGGUGAUAGUCUGCUCAUCAUCCACCUUCAACGUCAGAACAUCAGCAGGAUUUGUGUAAUUUGCAUGCACACAAACUUUUGUCUUUGUUCCAUGCUCUGCUUUAACCCUUCUCACAAAGUUUACAUCUUUGAUCUUCUGGCACCAGGCUUUGCACACAAGUUUACAUUGAUUGAUAUCAGGGAUGGGGAGGCGGAUGAUUAUCUCCUCAAAUACAGAAGCGUGAAGCUUUUGAAUUGUACAUUUCGUCUGAAAAUAAUAAGCAGGCAAGAUUUAAUUAAUUUCAAAGUCAUCAUUGCUUAUAAAUAAAGGAGGAGCUUUAAACUAUUUCGAACACUUUGAUCAGUGUGAUCCACACAAACAGAGUCAUCGAUUCGGUCAUAAUCUUGAAAGAAGAGUCAGACAGAGUGAAUGAGUCUUAUCGCUUGCGACAUUUUCUGAUAAAAAAAGACUAGUUGUUUAAGCAGGAAAGCAAACACAAUUGAUUAAAAAACGCAUCUUUCUUGGAACCCUCGUAGUGCUCUUUUUCGAUUCUAUUAUUGUGAAGUGAAAACUGUUAACACUUUCAGACCAAGACCCCAAGCAACACAAUCAGAAGAAAAGUUAUAAUCUUUACCACACAAAAAAACCAUAAACCCAGAAACCCACAAAGUGAAAAACCCCAGUUUCCCCAAUUUGAAAAACCCUAGUAUCGAUCCCCAAUCUUAAAAAACCCAAUUGGGUCACCCAUAACCGAGACCCCAAGCAACACAAUCGGACAAAAAGUUCUUAGCUUUACACUGAAAGGAACCCAAAACCCAGAAACCCCCAAAUGAAAAACCCUAGUUUCCUCAAUCGAGAAAACCCCAGGAAAUGCGAAAUUGGGUCACAAAAUUGGAUUAGAUAAUUCAUACAUAACAUGUACCCAGAUUAAGAAAAGCAACCAAUUCAAGAAUACAAGAAUCACAAACCCAGAAACAGGAAUACGAAUUACAUUAACAUUGAAUUCAAGGACACGAACCUUAGGAGAGUUGGCUGCUUUUGAUUCUUCCAUACUUGCAAUCUUGAGCCCAGUGAGAAUUGGGAAGGCUUUCUUUCUCUAAGCUUUGAAAGAAGAAGUGACGUAGUCAAGGGGGGAGAGAAAAAUGUGAGAGAAUUUUUGAAUCAGAGAAAAGUGGGAGAAUGAAUUAUGAAAAUGGUGACAAAUAUAGGUUUUUAGGCUCUGCUAUGUGCACGUGUUCCAACGGGAAAAUGUAGCCGUUAGCUUCAAAUAGAAUUUCAUCUAUUUAUUUAACCAUGUAUAUAUAUUCAUGAGGAGCAUAUGGGUUCUAUUUAAUUUUUCAAAGAAAAAGAUUUUAUGUCCGGAACCUUUCUGGCUGGACUAGGAAAUCUAGAAACUUAAAUUUUUAUUUUCUUAAAUAAACAAAUUACAAAGAACUCAAAAUAAGUCUGCUAUAAACGAUGUGCGGUUGAUUUCUUAAUCCUACAUUCCUACUUGCAAAAGUGUGUUGGUUCGGCAACCUGAAAAUCAAAAUUUUUUCUUUUUGUCUCAAACUUUUUAGUUUUGUGGUAAAAUUAGUCAUAGUUUCCUAGUCAAACUAGGAAAAGCCCAACAUCCAGAUUUAAAACCCACAAGCAAUGCACCAGAACACAGACCCAAAAAUACCCAUAGUUGAAGAAACAAACGAGGACCCAUAUAAACUUGACACAAAAUUCCAACAUAGCAGACACCCGUAUCACCGUAUAAAAAUGUUCGACACAAAACCAAACCAUAAAAGUAUUCAGAAACAAUCAACAUGUAUAACAAAGUCAUAAUCUAUGUGGAAAGUUCAAUUAUGGUAAACGGCCCAAAACAUGUGUGUCAAAUUCGAGUAUAGGUUUCGAACUUGUGCUUAUGUGAAAAUUACGAAAGGUGAAAUCUUGAAUCUUAAGGCAGAGAUAAUGAUAAAGAAGUAAGGGUAAAUCUUAAUAAAUCGUGAAUCCUGCAUUAACCCUUAAAAGGAUAAAGCCAAUGAUACCCAUGUCUUGAAGAAUUAGCUAUCAGACAUCUCCUAUAAACAUAUAUUAAAGGAUAAAUACUAAGAUCAUGCAUGAUUGCUGCAUAAAUAUUCUUUAUAAGAAGAUGAAUUAGAAAUAGAAUCAGGAGAUAUUUUAUUCAUAUGGACUGACUACUGCUAUAGAUAUACGCAUGCAUGAUACAGAUCGAUCAAUAACCAAACAAAAAUAGGAAGCCAACAACAACAACAACAGCACGUAUGUCUGUAUGUGGCCAUACUUCAAGCCUUACAAGGAUGACAUGCAUGCUAUGAACUACGACCCAAUGAUGGCAGGACCCAAAACGGCAUCUUCAUCUCGUUCCAAUUCCAGUUACUUAUAGAAUCAGAGUCGAUUAGUGUUGUCCUGGUUCUGUCCCCUAAAUUGAAAAUACCCAUCUCGCUUUUCAAGUAAUCACACUCACUAGGAUACUCGUCCCGUUUAACACUUUCUGUGGCAUAGUAUAUGCAAUUCGGCUUGCAGCCAGGAACACUUGAAGCUAAAACAGACUGGGAUUGACUUUGGCCUAAGAAUAUCGCAUCAUCUCCAAUGCAUUUUACCUCAACCAGCUGAACGCGGGACUUGUCUUCCUCGUUGAACACGAUCUUGCAAACGCCGAAGGAGNNNNNNNNNNNNNNNNNNNNAAUGAUGGCAGGACCCAAACGGCAUCUUCAUCUCGUUCCAAUUCCAGUUACUUAUAGAAUCAGAGUCGAUUAGUGUUGUCCUGGUUCUGUCCCCUAAAUUGAAAAUACCCAUCUCGCUUUUCAAGUAAUCACACUCACUAGGAUACUCGUCCUGUUUAACACUUUCUGUGGCAUAGUAUAUGCAAUUCGGCUUGCAGCCAGGAACACUUGAAGCUAAAACAGACUGGGAUUGACUUUGGCCUAAGAAUAUCGCAUCAUCUCCAAUGCAUUUUACCUCAAACAGCUGAACGCGGGACUUGUCUUCCUCGUUGAACACGAUCUUGCAAACGCCGAAGGAGGUUUCUUUAAACGCAUAAAAUCUUAGAACGAGCAACAGGUCUCCAUUUGUUGACUCCACAAGAUAUUGCUCCCUACAAUGUGCACGGAAAAUAUCCUUAGGGUCAGGGUUAAAACGCAUAUACUGUAUUUUCGGAUAUGGAAGGUUAGAAAUGCUAUUAACAUCCAAGGUUACUAUCCUAUGUCCCCAUUGAAGAAGCAAGCAGACUUUGUUUUUAUGAAAUAUAGCAUCAUCGAACUUAGGAAGAUCUGGAGGCAGUCGUUUGAUCGUGAUCCAAGAUUCUUGUCCUCCUUUAAUAAGCGCUAACGGCGGAGAAUAACCAUUCGUAUAUCCUAUGCGGGUCGCCAAUGGUCUAAAUAAUGCAAAGAGCACAUAAUAGUUUUCCGGAUGCAAAGCGGGGUUAGCAGACAAGAUAACUCUCGGGAUCCAGUCUUUAACAUGCUCGAACAAUUUUUGGAUGCAAUGCAUAUAGGGGGGAAGAUGAAUCACCUCUGACGUUUUUCCGAAAGGAUUCCGCAGAGUUAUUUCAUGAACGAGCUUCGAUUUUCUUUUUUCUGGACCUUCCAGGGUUGUUGAUCUGAGUGCCGAGGCCAACCAACCUUGACUAGAGCCACAAAACAUCUCAUUGUAAGGCAUUGUUAAACAAAUGUUGAUGUUGUUGUAGAUUUUUCUUUCGGAAACGCUAUACAGUAGUCUUUGCUUUGCAUCAUUAUCGGAUUCAUUAGGGGGAAGCAUGAGCAUGGGAAGUAGCUUAGGCUUACUCACCCAACGUUGCUUAGUGCAAUUGUAGAGUUUUGCAACUUGCCGCAGUUCCUUACAAACAGCGGCGAAACGAACAUAAUCGACGAGCUCCAACAACUUAUCAAGAACACAAUACAGAACAUCAGUUGGAAGACAUGAAAUCUGAAGCUUCAUCUCUCUUUGUUCGCAUCCUAAUUGGCCAGUUAUUCGCCGUCUUUUAACCUGUCUCCCUUGAUCUUCUGCUCCUGCUUCUUCGUCUUCUAGACUCGUUGACACCUCAUUCGACCUAGAAAAAUCAAUAUCAUCAUCAUGCUCCACCAUCCCUUAUAUCUCUAUGCUUUUUCCUCUCUUAAUUUCUUUCUUUUUAUGUUCUCACAGAUCAUACUGUUAUAUAGGCAAAUAAAGAAGUCAUAGACAUAUUAGGAUUAGGAAACCCUAGCCCUCGAGAAAAGAGUCCAAGUCAGGUUAUGAUUAGGAAGUCGUUUGAAAUCUUACAACCGUAUCCGGAGACCGUUAUACAAUGUUAAUUAAGUCAGGAGUUAUACGCUAGGUGGCUUCGAUGCAUUAUCUUCACAUUAUUAGUGAUAAGAAAACCAAACCAUAAGGAAAACCAAAACCUGAAACGUCUCACUUCGUACAACCUGCAAGAGCUUAAUUAGCUUCUCAAACCCUAAAUGUGGACUACCAAACGACGACGUAACCUUGUUCUGCAGGAAGACUUGUUCGUCAAGAAAGAUAAGAAAGAGAACCAAGUAGAGGAUGAGAUGAAUGUGAUGAUAGAUCGUUGGUUGAACACUUAAAUUAACAUAAUUUUGAGUCAAGUUCAACACUUAAAUUAGGAUGUGUCAUUGGACUCGAGUCUAUUCAACACCUAUUGGGUUUUAAAACACUGGGCUUACGACCCGGCCAAAAUCACAGCCAUAUAUUCAGCAAGCAGAGCUGAACAGUGUGACUAGCUUAACAGUUAACACAGUUGCAUCUUUCAAUUUCAUCUCCUUCGAAAAGAAUGGCGGUUUUUCCGAGCGAGGACUUGGUUAUCCAGAACCUUCUCCACCGCCGCUUCUCACCCUCUCUCCGCGUAUGCAUCGUCGGAAGUGGACCCGCCGGCUUCUACACGGCGGAGAAGGUAAAGCCUUGGAUUCGUUUUAGCAAUUGAAGUGUUUUUGGUCUUAUGUUUGAGCUUAUUGUGAUCAGAAAACUUGCAACUGCUCAUUCUUUGGAAAUGUCACUCUUGGAUCCUCUGUGAUCCUUCCCGAGCUCCUCAAGCUGUAUGAUGUGGUGAUCGAGGUUCUAGCUCGAUAGGUGUUAGCUAGCUAGGCAGCUUCAUUCUGGCUAAAUUUUUUUGUUUGACCAGGUUUUUUGUGCUAUUGAGCAGGUUGUGCUUGCAUGCGGUGCUGGGAGUGAUAGAGUUCUUGACUUGACUUCUUGGUAUCUCAGGAGAGGUAUGUAUUGCUUGUUUCACUUUUAUUUUUUGGCGCUCUUUGUUCAAUAGACUAGAUUGUGUAAAUGCCGAAUGAAUGUGGAGACUAAACUUAGAGGGUGUCAAAUGGUAAUCUCUCUUAUUCUACAGGAGGCUGAGAUAAGAUCAAGCCUUCAUUAUAGCUCAUCGAGCUUAUAUACAAAGUACAGUCUAUCUGGUGGAGUACAAAGCUUUCAAUAUUGUGGGAAAAUGCUCAUAAUGAAAAUAGUAAAAAGAUAUAUGCAUGCAUGAUACAGAAUUACAGAUCGAUCAAUAACCACUCAAAAAAUCAAGCCAACAACAACAGUAUGUGGCUACUGGCUACACUUAAGACUUACAAGGAUGACAUAUAUAUUAUACAUGUUCUACGUACGAACCUAGCUAGCUAGGGGUACAUUCAAAUGUUCAAUGAUGGCAGGACCCAAAAUGGCAUAUUCAUCACGUUCCAAUUCCAGUUACUUAUAGAAUCAGAGACGAUUAGUGUAGUUCUGGUUCUGUCCCCUAAAUUGAAAAUACCCAUCUCGCUUUUUAAGAUAUCACUAUAAUCUUUCGGAUACUCAUCCCGUCUAACACUUUCUGUAGCAUAGUAUAUGCAGUUCGGCGUGCAGCCAGGAAUACUUGUAGCUAAAACAGACUGGGAUUGGUUCUGACCUAAGAAUAUUGCAUCAUCUCCGAUGCAUUUUUCCUCAACCAGCUGAAAGGGGGAUUUGUCUUCCUCGUUGAACACGAUCUUGCAAACGCCAAACGAGGUUUCUUCAAACUCAUAAAAUCUUGGAACGAGCAAUAGGUCUCCGUUUGUUGACUCCACGAGAUAUUGCUCCCAACAAUGUGCAUGGAAAAUAUUCCUAGCAGGUUCUGGUUUAAAACCACUAUACUGUAUCUUCGGCUGUGUAAGGUUAAUGCUAUCAACAUCCAAGGUUACCAUCCCGGAGCCUACCAUCUUAUUUCUGCUUUCAAGAAGCAAGCAGAUUUUGUUUCUAUAAAAUAUAGCAUCAUCAAACUUAGGAAAAUGUUGAUCUAGUCGGUCGAUCGUGAUCCAAGAUUCUUGUCCUCCUUUAAAUAGCGCUAACGUUGGAUUAUAAACAUUUAUAAUUCGUCGUACUACGCCGUUUGGUAUGCGGUGCGUCAAUAGCGCUAACGUUGGAUCAUGAACAUUCAUAUGUCGUCGUACUACGCCGUUUGGCAAUGGUAUGCAGUGCGGCAAUGGUCUAUAUAAUGCAAAUAGCACAUAAUAGUUUUCCGGAUGCAAAGCUGGGUUAGCAGACAAGAUUACUCUGGGGAUCCAUUCUUUAACAUGCUCGAACAUUUCUGGGAUGCAAUGCAUAUAGGGAGGAAGAUGAAUCACCUCUGACGCUUUUCCGAAAGGGUUUCACAGAGUUAUUUCAUGGACGAGCUUGAAUCUUCAAUUUUCAGGCCAUUCCCCGGUUGAUUGGAGUGCCGAGGCCAACCAACCUUGGCUAGAGCCACAAAGGCUCUCAUUGUAAGGCAUCGAUAAACGAAUGUUGAUGUUGUUGUAGAUUUUUCUUUCUGAAACGCUAUACAGUAGUCUUUGCUUUGUAUCAUUAUCGGAUUCAUUAGGGGGAAGCAUGAGCAUGGGAAGUAGCUUAGGCUUACUCACCCAACGUUGCUUAGUGCAAUUGUAGAGUUUUGCAACUUGCUGCAGUUCCUUACAAACAGCGGCGAAACGAACAUAAUCGAAGAGCUCCAACAACUUAUCAAGAACACAAUACAGAACAUCAAUUGGAAGACAUGAAAUCUGAAGCUUCAUCUCUCUUUGUUCGCAUCCUAAUUGGCCAGUUAUUCGUCGUCUUUUAACCUGUCUCUCUUGAUCUUCUGCUCCUGCUGCUUCGUCUUCUAGACUCAUUGACACCUCAUUAACCCUUGAAACGCCAAUAUCAUCAUCAUGCUCCACCAUCCCUUAUAUAUAUCUCUAUGCUUUAUUCUUUCUUUUCUUCCUUUUGGUAUGGACUAUGGAAGCCUAGUUCGCACCGCUGUUAUAUAGGCACCUAAAGACGUCCAAUACAUAUUAGGAUUAGGAAACCCUAGCCCUCAAGGAAAGAGUUCGAGUCCAAGUCUGGUUAGCAAGUCGUUUGAAUUUUUUUUUCAAUACAAAAUGCGUGGUAGCGUUACAACCUUAUAAGCUAUAGGUGGCUUCGUUGCAUAAUUGCAUUAUCUUCACCUUAUCGGUGUUAUACUUACCAAACCAACCAAAUAAAUGAUGCGGCUAGCUGAUCAAGCAUUAGUUUAUAAUUCACUUUCUCAUUAUAUAAACAAAUCCCUAUUUCAUAAGGAAACCCAAAGUCUUACUUAAGAAGAUCCCCACCCAAAAGUAGAAACCCAUAAGAAGAUCCCAGCAAGAGCUUAACUUCUCUAACCCUCGACAAGACGACGUUGUCACAUCUAUUCUGCAGGAGGACUUGUUCGUCAAGAAACAGAAUCAAGAAGAGGAUCAGAUCAAUGGAAUAAACACCUAUUGGGUUUUAAAAUAGACUGGGCUUACCAUCACUAUUCCUUUUUCAAACUGGGUCGGCCCGGCCCAUGCCACGGCCUUAUUUUAAGCAAGCAGAGCUGAUCAGUGUGACUAGCUUAACACAGUUGAAUCUUUCGAUUUCGAAAAAAUGGCGACGACAUGGUUAUCCAGAACCUUCUCCCCCGCCGCUUCUCACCCUCUCUCCGCCGGCUUCUACACGGCGGAGAAGGUAAAGCCUUAUUCGUUUUAGCAAUUGAAGUGUUUUUGGUUUCUGAAAAUUGAAUGACGAUUUCGAAUUUGAUGGAUACAAUUGGUUUCUGAUUUGAAUUAAACUGUAUUAGACGCUGAAGGUGCACUAGGAAACUCAGGUUGACAUCAUUGACCGGUUGCCGCUCCAUCAGCUUGAAACCAAGGUGAUCAUAUCAUUCCCCAAUUUCAUUGCUAUUUCGAAAACUUCUAGAGGUUUUGUAGAGUUUAGAGAGAGGAACUUGGAGUUUGCGAGUUCAUACAUAAUGUAAUUGAGCAAGUAUGCAAUUUUUGAAUGCUUUCGGUGUGCGAAAAUGUACCUCUUAUGUUUGAGCUUAUAGUGAUCAGAAAACUUGCAACUGAUUGUGCUGCAUCAGUUUAUGAGAGUUGCGCAACACAAACGCUGCUCGUUCUUUGGAAAUGUCACUCUUGGAUCAUCUGUCACCCUUCCCGAGCUCCUCGAGCUGUAUGAUGUGGUGAGGUUCUAGCUCAAUAGGUGUUAGCUAAGCAGCUUCAUUCUGGCCAACUUUUUUUUGUUUGACCAGGAUUUUUGUGCUAUUGAGCAGUUUAUUUGUGCUUGCAUAUGGUGCUGAAAGUGAUAGAGUUCUUGGUAUCACAGGAGAGGUAUGUAUUGCUUGUUUCGCUUUUAUUUUCUGCCGCUCUAUGUUCAAUAGACUGGAUUGUGUGAAUGCCAAAUGAAUGUGGAGACUAAACUUAGAGGGUGUCAGCUGGUGGUAUCACUUAUUGUACAGGAGGGCUGACAUAAGAUCAAGCCUUCACUAUGGUUCAGGAAGAUUUGGGAUUUUCCUCUUUUGUGGGGGGGGUGUUGAUAGUAACUAAACCACUGUGAUUACCCUUUCUAAAUUGACUUAUAUUGUGUUGAUAUCUUAUUGGAUAUUAGUUUGUGUUUCUUUAUAGGAUUUGAGUGGAAUAUAUGCAGCUAGAGAGUUUGUGUGGUGGUAUAAUGGGCAUCCGAAAUCUUAAUCCUGACUUGACGAGUUCGGAUACAGCUGUAAUACUUGGCCAGCUAUCUUCUAGUUUAAUUUUGGAAACGAGGUCAGAAAUAGGAUCGAUGGUGUAAUUAGUUGCUGGCAGCUAUCUGAAGCUCAGUCCAGUUUGCUAUCACUGAACAUACUUUAUGAAUUUUUUCUUUCUUUUUUGCAACAUUUAAAUACCCUAAAGAUUAAGUUUAUGUUACACUGUAGUUUUUGGUUCUCUUUUACGUUUAUGUAGCAUUUUAGAAUUCUCUUAUAAAGACAUUACUUUGUCAAAAAACAAUCAACAGAUAAGCUAUAAUUUGUAAUUAGAGCGUGGUGCUGAUUAAGGGCAUGAAAGAACAGGGGAGGGGAGCCAAUAAAGGUGUAAACUAGAUGACUGCUUUAUCACGGGACAUGAGCCUGUUUUGUCAAUGAAAACAAAUGAUGGUCCUAAAUAAACCUGCUUAUCAUGUAGUUAGAAACAAAAGUGAACUAUGACUUAAAGCGAACCAUAACUUGACGUCUUGACAUGGCUCGAGGAUAAGUUGGGUAGUUUGAAUAGUGUUGGGGUACUCAGGAAAUGUGAAAUUUAUUACACUUCAGAGGACAUUCAACGAGUAUAGCUUUUUACUACAGAGUUUUAAACAAUUAAACCUAAAAAAAAGUUCCUUUCGCUUCCAGGGAAAUGUAGCUCUUGAUGUUUCACACAUUCUUUUACGACCAACAACAGAAUUGGCCACAACUGAAAAUAUCCCAUACUUUGAGAAUUAUUAGUUACAUUCAAUGACUACUUUAUUUUAUCUAUGUUUCAUUGUUAAUGAUAUAAAUUUUCAUGUCAGGAAAGUAUAUUUGGUUGGAAGGCGGGGUCCGGCACAAGCAGCUUGUACAGCUAUAGAUCUGCGUGAAAUUCUUGGUGAUUGUUGAACGUCUCAUCAUUCUAAUGCUAACUACAGUUUAUGAUUUGAAAUUUAGUCAUAGACUGUUCUCCUUUGGAUGUAAUAUACAUUUGAGUAACAGGUGUUAGCUUUUGUUUCUCAGGUAUAAAAGAUCUGCACGUUCACAUAAAGGAAGUUGAUCGACUGAAAACCCCAGCAGAUGAAGUAUACUUAUCUUUCUCUUCACUUUUGAUCAAUUUGACCCUUCACCUACAUGCAAAUCCACGUGUUUUUUACGUUGUUAUUGGUUUUAACUUUUAAAUAACAUCCUUCCGCUCUCUCUCACAGUCUAGGUAAUAUAAUAAUUCCCUUUUAUCUUUAGUAAUAUUCCCUUCCAUUGGUGUUUUGUGGCUUGUUGCUGUCAUUUGGUAAGGAAGAGAUGAAAAAUAAUCGAAUUUGAAAAAAAAGGUUUAUGAGUUGCUGUCUAAGGCUGCUACAUCGAGACCUUCGCAUCCAAGUUCAGAUCCAGUGAACUCCACUUUGUUUUCUUUCGGAAGCCAGAUAAGUUUCUGGAAUUUGAUGAGAGAAGUGGCCAUAUUUCUGUUGUCAGACUUGAGAAGACAAAGCUCAUAGGUAAUUUAUCCUUCAUAAAUGUGUGAUGUUAAAUUUUUUAUGUAUUUUCAGUGCAAUGAACGCAGCAGUUGAUCACUGGAUGUCUGGACUAUAGAUUCAUAUUGUACCGUAGUAUAACAGAAGAGGUCAAUCAAGUUAAUGUGAAAGCUGUUAAUAACAUUAGUAAAUGAUCUAUAUGAUUAGCUGUCCAAAACUCCAAAUUAUAGUGAUAAAUCUGCUUCCUUCACUUUUAAACUGUAGGUGUGAACCCUGGAGAACUAAUGGCUGCGCGUACUGGACAGUUUGAAGAUCUUGGAUGCGGGUAUACUCUCUAAAUUUCAAGCUUUGUCUAUCUCCUACCAGUCACAGAUACGUGUAAUGUGUGUUAGUUGCAUAUGUUGGACCCCCUAAAGGUAGGUAGGUGUGUGUGUGUGUGAUGAAUCAUGAUGUGGUACUGACAACUGUGUAUUUCUUCUCUCUGUAGAAUCGUUCUAAAGAGCAUUGGUUACAAAUCAAUACCAGUUAAUGGCUUACCCUUUGAUAAUCAGAGAAGUAAGCAUUGGUUAUAGCUGAUCUGGAUCUCAGGUGUCCUUAAGAGAUACACUUUAAACAUUCUGAUUGACGGCAUCUUCAAGCAUUAAGUUCAUGCUAAUAUACAAAAUUUGAGGAAUAUUGUUCCACUAACAUGUAUUAUGACAUACACAUAUUUGUGGGUAGUUCAGUUCAUUUGAAAGAUCUGUUCCUUAGAAGUUUGAAUCUCAAAAGAACUAUUUUCCUAUGCUCUUUGAUAUUGCCCAAUUAAACUUUACAUGAAAUGAGAUGACAUGAAAAUUUAUAUGGCUGAUCCCGUAUUCAUGCAUAAGAGAUAGAAAAAUCUGAUGGCCCCUCGCAGGUGUGGUCCAAAUGUUAGAGGGCGACUUAUAAGUGAAGCAUCUGGAGAUCAUACACGGCUAGAGAAGGGUUUUUAUGUAUGUGGAUGAUUGAAGAGAGGACCAACUGGGAUCAUUGCUACAAACCUCUAUUGUGCAGAAGAAACUUUUUGUGGUAUUGUACACUACUUGAAAGUAACAAAGAUCAGACGUAUAUUUGUAGCAGAUAUAUAAGAUGUAGAUUUGUAACAAAGAUCAGAUAUAUAAGAUGUAGAUUUCAACUCGUCACAAUAGCUUCAAUACAAAACAACAGAAGGUACUUGAUGUAUUCCCAAAGUUCACCAUCUUCACAGGGCACUAUUAACUUUCUCUAUGUAGUGGAACAUAGAUACUUCACAAAUCUACUAUUGAAUUAAGCUAACUACAAGCUAGCAUAGUCUUCAAUACAAAAAAAGAAUAUAAAUUGUAGCUCAAAGAAAAGAUAGCAAGAAGCUAGCACAUCUCAUCAGUGUGAUCCCUCUUCCUUUUGUGGUUGCGGUAGUUAUAAAAACUUCGGCAGUGAGGUAUGGUAGAAGGCUGCAGCAUAAGUUUUAAAGAACAUCUCAUCUUCUUGACGGUAGAUUUCAAUCUUGGAUUUCUCACGCACAUUGUAUACCACAAUAACUCUUCCAGGAUGACUAUCCUGUAUCACCAAGUGCAAAAUUAUCCCAAAUAGCAAUCUCCUCAAAAACUUCCACAUCCUCCCCCUUUCAAAUACUUGAGUAUUUAAGCACAUUCACCCUCAUCACACAAUCUAGACCUAGUUUUCUACCCCUUCACCAUUUUGGCCGAAUUUGAGGGAGCUCUCUCCUCUUCUUCUUCCCCCAUUCUCCACAUGUAGGCUUACACAAGGAGGAGGCACACACAAUUUCGGGUUCUAGACCACCAUGGCUUAAAAAGGGUAGCAAGAGAAGCCAUGGAGUUUGGGCAUUUGCUAUUGACAAGCUUUGUCACUUCAUGGACUUCUCCUCUCUUUCCCUUUUCUCUAUCAUUUCUUUUUUAUGGUGUUGUUGAUAUGCAUGGAUAUGUAUUUGUGUGUGACCUUUCAUGGUUUUGAAACUCAAGUUUGACUUUGUAUGGUUUUGAUGAGGAAUUAAUAAAAUUGAUGUUUAUUCACAUGUUUUGUGUACUCUUACUUUGAUUUCCUCACUCUAGAUGUAUGAUUUAGGUUUUGCCCUCCUUAAUCUAUGUUUGGUAUGUUGGAAUUGGAAUAUUGAAUUAAGGAAUUUGUAUUUCAAUUUAUAUUAUGGCACGAGUAUGUUGGGAUUUGCCCAUUGCAUAUAUCUAUUUCCAUUUGGAUUUUUAGAGAUUAUGGUUUUCCAAUUACCCAAUUUUGAGUAUUAUUACCCUUGAUUGUUGGAAUAGUAUUUGGAAUUGUUGGUAGGGUAAUCGUUAUCGCAAGUAUUCUUCUCGAUCUUAUUGUUUGUGGUAAUGGUUGCUAGAAUAGGAUAGUCAAAACCUAAAUGUUCUUUCUUCCUCAUAUUUCACUCGUGGUUUAACUCUU